RNAcentral lists this ribosomal RNA (465 nucleotides) under Vreelandella stevensii. Its description in RNAcentral is "partial 16S ribosomal RNA". It matches the Rfam family "Bacterial small subunit ribosomal RNA", at positions 338 to 795 of the family's 1533-position model. The record is from RNAcentral. Lineage: Bacteria; Pseudomonadati; Pseudomonadota; Gammaproteobacteria; Oceanospirillales; Halomonadaceae.
CCUACGGGAGGCUGCAGUGGGGAAUAUUGGACAAUGGGGGCAACCCUGAUCCAGCCAUGCCGCGUGUGUGAAGAAGGCCCUCGGGUUGUAAAGCACUUUCAGUGAGGAAGAACGCCUGGUGGUUAAUACCCAUCAGGAAAGACAUCACUCACAGAAGAAGCACCGGCUAACUCCGUGCCAGCAGCCGCGGUAAUACGGAGGGUGCGAGCGUUAAUCGGAAUUACUGGGCGUAAAGCGCGCGUAGGUGGCUUGAUAAGCCGGUUGUGAAAGCCCCGGGCUCAACCUGGGAACGGCAUCCGGAACUGUCAAGCUAGAGGGCAGGAGAGGAAGGUAGAAUUCCCGGGGUAGCGGUGAAAUGCGUAGAGAUCGGGAGGAAUACCAGUGGCGAAGGCGGCCUUCUGGACUGACACUGACACUGAGGUGCGAAAGCGUGGGUAGCAAACAGGAUUAGAUACCCUGGUAGUC